Molecule: transfer RNA, 137 nt
Filed under: Aspergillus ibericus CBS 121593
Lineage: Eukaryota; Fungi; Ascomycota; Eurotiomycetes; Eurotiales; Aspergillaceae
Description: tRNA-Ser
Source: RNAcentral
GCCCGGAUGGUCUAGUGGUAUGUUCUACAAUCAUCCGAAAUCUUCCCGUUCUGUUCUAACAGUUCAUAAUCAGGUAUGAUUCCUGCUUCGGGAAAUGAAUAUGCAGGAGGUCCCGCGUUCGAAUCGCGGUUCGGGCC